GACGAACGCUGGCGGCGUGCUUAACACAUGCAAGUCGAACGGAAAGGCCCUGCUUGCAGGGUACUCGAGUGGCGAACGGGUGAGUAACACGUGGGUGAUCUGCCCUGCACUUCGGGAUAAGCCUGGGAAACUGGGUCUAAUACCGGAUAGGAGCCAUUUUUAGUGUGAUGGUUGGAAAGUUUUUUCGGUGUAGGAUGAGCUCGCGGCCUAUCAGCUUGUUGGUGGGGUAAUGGCCUACCAAGGCGGCGACGGGUAGCCGGCCUGAGGGGGUGGACGGCCACAUUGGGACUGAGAUACGGCCCAGACUCCUACGGGAGGCAGCAGUGGGGAAUAUUGCACAAUGGGCGCAAGCCGGAUGCAGCGACGCCGCGUGGGGGAUGACGGCCUUCGGGUUGUAAACUCCUUUCGCUAGGGACGAAGCUUUUUGUGACGGUACCUAGAUAAGAAGCACCGGCUAACUACGUG
This 465-nucleotide ribosomal RNA is filed under the name uncultured bacterium. RNAcentral describes it as "partial 16S ribosomal RNA". It matches the Rfam family "Bacterial small subunit ribosomal RNA", at positions 28 to 507 of the family's 1533-position model. The record is from RNAcentral.